RNAcentral lists this ribosomal RNA (460 nucleotides) under uncultured bacterium. Its description in RNAcentral is "partial 16S ribosomal RNA". It matches the Rfam family "Bacterial small subunit ribosomal RNA", at positions 338 to 795 of the family's 1533-position model. The record is from RNAcentral.
CCUACGGGAGGCAGCAGUGAGGAAUAUUGGUCAAUGGGCGGAAGCCUGAACCAGCCAAGUAGCGUGCAGGAUGACGGCCCUACGGGGUGUAAACUGCUUUUAUACGGGAAUAACGCGCCUUACGUGUAGGGCUUUGCAUGUACCGUAUGAAUAAGGACCGGCUAAUUCCGUUCCAGCAGCCGCGGUAAUAAGGGAGGUCGGGGCGUUAUCCGGAUUUAGUGGGUUUAAAGGGGGAGUAGGCCGCCUGUCAAGCGUGCUGUGACAUGUCCGGGCUCAACCCGGGCCUUGCAGCGCGAACUGGCGUGCGUGAGUCCGCGGAAGGCAGGCGGAAUUCGUCGUGUAGCGGUGAAAUGCGUAGAUAUGACGAAGAACCCCGAGUGCGAAGGCAGCUUGCUGCAGCGGAACUGACGCUGAUGCUCGAAAGCGCGGGUAUCGAACAGGAUUAGAUACCCUGGUAGUC